RNAcentral lists this ribosomal RNA (463 nucleotides) under uncultured bacterium. RNAcentral's name for it is "partial 16S ribosomal RNA". It matches the Rfam family "Bacterial small subunit ribosomal RNA", at positions 339 to 795 of the family's 1533-position model. The record is from RNAcentral.
CUACGGGCGGCACCAGUGGGGAAUCUUGCGCAAUGGGCGAAAGCCUGACGCAGCGACGCCGCGUGAGUGAUGAAGGCCCUCGGGUUGUAAAGCUCUGUGGAGAGGGAAGAAUAAGGAUGGACUAAUACUCCAUUUGAUGACGGUACCUCUUUAGCAAGCACCGGCUAACUCUGUGCCAGCAGCCGCGGUAAGACAGAGGGUGCAAACGUUGUUCGGAAUUACUGGGCGUAAAGCGCGUGUAGGCGGCAGGGCAAGUCGGAUGUGAAAGCCCACGGCUCAACCGUGGAAGUGCACCCGAAACUGCUCCGCUGGAGUCUCGGAGAGGAAGGUGGAAUGCUUGGUGUAGAGGUGAAAUUCGUAGAUAUCAAGCGGAACACCGGUGGCGAAGGCGGCCUUCUGGACGAUGACUGACGCUGAGACGCGAAAGCGUGGGGAGCAAACAGGAUUAGAUACCCUCGUAGUC